This 1340-nucleotide long non-coding RNA is filed under the name Sinocyclocheilus grahami. RNAcentral's name for it is "lncRNA (ENSSGRG00000004166.1)". The record is from RNAcentral. Lineage: Eukaryota; Metazoa; Chordata; Actinopteri; Cypriniformes; Cyprinidae.
GUGGCUCCAUCUGUGAAAGCACAGCCUGUGGAAAACCCGAUAUCAGCCAAAAUCCCAUCGGCUAUAGGUCUUGCACAGCAUUACUAUAUGAAGCCUAAGAGAGCCGCCGCCACAAGGCAGCCGAGCAGCUCAGGAGAGAGCGUCACUGACCACCAGCAGGAGCCCAGCAGAUCUCAACCACUCAACCUCAGUCAGACCACUGUCUCCUCGUCCCAAGAACCAUCCGGUGGCUCAUCCUCCCUGCGCCGACAGCAAACAUACCCGCCUGCCUCCUCUCGUUACUGUCUCCAGAAGACCCCGUCGUUCACCAGCACCCCCAGCCUCUACACCUACCCCACCCCCGUGUCCCACAUGGAGCGCCUGCUCGUACAAGGCUCCUCCCCCUCCAUGCACGCCCCGCCCACUAGUCACUAUGCAGCCAGUCUUAUCCCAAAGGACUCCAUUGGAAGCGUGGUCCACGGACUCUCCGCCCACUACCAGCAACAUUACCCCGCCCAUCCUUACAUCAGCACCAGCACCACUAGAGGAAGCGGGGCGUACAGCGGCUAUCAGCUCAGCCCGCGGAGGGUCCCUCAGUACCCCUACAUAUGACACACACAGACUGAUGUCACGUAGGGCCACGUCUUCAGAUUUUACGACCGUCAGACCUGCCGUCAACUGCUGCAACUGGUUUGAUCUGUCCUAUUUAUGUUUUAGAAUGUUAAUAUUUAGAAAUCUAUUAUGUCGUUUUGCAUCCGUUUACUGAGAAAUCCAGUGUCCGGUUAGGUAAGUUUAUUUUCUUAGCUCAAGGAACGCUGACGUGUUUUUAAUCCGUAAGCAAUAGCGGAAUAAUGCUGACAUAAAGGAACAGGGAUCGUAACGCCGUAGAUUCGUCUGUUCGACUAAAAUCCUUACACUAACCCUUGACUCGUUUAUACUCCUUUUUGUUUUUAGAUUCAAUGUCGUGUUUUUGUUGUCGUAGGAUCUCUUGUUUUUAAGUUAUGUUUGAUUGUGAAGCUGACUGGUUCUCAACCACUUUACUGGAAGGUCAAGAUGUGGAAAGGAAAAAAAAAUGUUAUGUGCCCUGGUCAUAUUGGUAUUUAAGUUAGAGCUAUAUGUUAGUCAAAUCAAAGUCCUGGUAGAAUCGUAGAGUGUAUGUUGUGAGGAAUAUCAGUGGAUAUAAAGGAGUAACAUCAACUUCCCAUCAAGUUUUUAUUUUAUUGUAUUUAUUUUUUAGCUAAAAUUGUUUAAUGAUGUCAAUACUCUCCUUGGAGAACAGGGGGGGGGUAAAGAUAUUUAACAGAAGAGCUGGGAUGUCAAAGCCAAUGAAAAUGUGAUGCUACUUCGGAAACCAUAAUUAC